RNAcentral lists this ribosomal RNA (394 nucleotides) under Bacillus sp. (in: firmicutes). RNAcentral's name for it is "bacterial SSU rRNA". It matches the Rfam family "Bacterial small subunit ribosomal RNA", at positions 48 to 433 of the family's 1533-position model. Lineage: Bacteria; Bacillati; Bacillota; Bacilli; Caryophanales; Bacillaceae. The record is from RNAcentral.
GCUAUACAUGCAGUCGAGCGGACAGAUGGGAGCUUGCUCCCUGAUGUUAGCGGCGGACGGGUGAGUAACACGUGGGUAACCUGCCUGUAAGACUGGGAUAACUCCGGGAAACCGGGGCUAAUACCGGAUGGUUGUUUGAACCGCAUGGUUCAAACAUAAAAGGUGGCUUCGGCUACCACUUACAGAUGGACCCGCGGCGCAUUAGCUAGUUGGUGAGGUAACGGCUCACCCAGGCAACGAUGCGUAGCCGACCUGAGAGGGUGAUCGGCCACACUGGGACUGAGACACGGCCCAGACUCCUACGGGAGGCAGCAGUAGGGAAUCUUCCGCAAUGGACGAAAGUCUGACGGAGCAACGCCGCGUGAGUGAUGAAGGUUUUCGGAUCGUAAAGCUC